AUGGGCCAAAUGGCCAUCGCAACCGCUACAUCAGGUAUUGUGGCAUCGAUAAUGCCUGGAAGACGAACAGCACACUCCAGGUUCAAAAUACCAAUCAAGCUCACCGACAACAGCAUGUGUAGUUUCACAAAGCAGAGUGGUACAACUGAGUUGCUUAAGCAAGCGUCCUUGAUAAUUUGGGAUGAAUGUGCUAUGACGAAACGUCAAGCAGUUGAGAUGCUUGAUAGAUCACUACGGGAUAUAAUGGAAAGUCGUUUGCCGUUUGGGGAAAGGUUGUCGUAUUUGGUGGUGACUUCAGGCAGGUCCUUCCUGUUGUGA
Molecule: ribosomal RNA, 318 nt
Filed under: Triticum aestivum (bread wheat)
Lineage: Eukaryota; Viridiplantae; Streptophyta; Magnoliopsida; Poales; Poaceae
Description: partial small subunit ribosomal RNA
Source: RNAcentral